This 497-nucleotide ribosomal RNA is filed under the name uncultured bacterium. RNAcentral describes it as "partial 16S ribosomal RNA". It matches the Rfam family "Bacterial small subunit ribosomal RNA", at positions 28 to 507 of the family's 1533-position model. The record is from RNAcentral.
GAUGAACGCUGGCGGCGUGCCUAAUACAUGCAAGUCGAGCGAACAGACGAGGAGCUUGCUCCUCUGACGUUAGCGGCGGACGGGUGAGUAACACGUGGAUAACCUACCUAUAAGACUGGGAUAACUUCGGGAAACCGGAGCUAAUACCGGAUAAUAUAUUGAACCGCAUGGUUCAAUAGUGAAAGACGGUCUUGCUGUCACUUAUAGAUGGAUCCGCGCUGCAUUAGCUAGUUGGUAAGGUAACGGCUUACCAAGGCGACGAUGCGUAGCCGACCUGAGAGGGUGAUCGGCCACACUGGAACUGAGACACGGUCCAGACUCCUACGGGAGGCAGCAGUAGGGAAUCUUCCGCAAUGGGCGAAAGCCUGACGGAGCAACGCCGCGUGAGUGAUGAAGGUCUUCGGAUCGUAAAACUCUGUUAUUAGGGAAGAACAGAUGUGUAAGUAACUGUGCACGUCUUGACGGUACCUAAUCAGAAAGCCACGGCUAACUACGUG